GACGAACGCUGGCGGCGUGCUUAACACAUGCAAGUCGAACGGAAAGGCCCCUUCGGGGGUACUCGAGUGGCGAACGGGUGAGUAACACGUGAGUAACCUGCCCUUGACUUCGGGAUAACUUCAGGAAACUGGGGCUAAUACCGGAUAGGAAUCCUUGCUGCAUGGUGGGGGUUGGAAAGCUUCGGCGGUUUUGGAUGGACUCGCGGCUUAUCAGCUUGUUGGUGGGGUAGUGGCUUACCAAGGCUUUGACGGGUAGCCGGCCUGAGAGGGCGACCGGCCACAUUGGGACUGAGAUACGGCCCAGACUCCUACGGGAGGCAGCAGUGGGGAAUAUUGCACAAUGGGCGGAAGCCUGAUGCAGCAACGCCGCGUGCGGGAUGACGGCCUUCGGGUUGUAAACCGCUUUCAGCAGGGGCGAAGCUUGUGGUGACGGUACAUGCAGAAGAAGCACCGGCUAACUACGUG
Molecule: ribosomal RNA, 465 nt
Filed under: uncultured bacterium
Lineage: Bacteria
Description: partial 16S ribosomal RNA
Rfam family: Bacterial small subunit ribosomal RNA
Source: RNAcentral